This 253-nucleotide ribosomal RNA is filed under the name uncultured bacterium. RNAcentral describes it as "partial 16S ribosomal RNA". It matches the Rfam family "Bacterial small subunit ribosomal RNA", at positions 524 to 776 of the family's 1533-position model. The record is from RNAcentral.
UACGGAGGGGGCUAGCGUUGUUCGGAAUUACUGGGCGUAAAGCGCACGUAGGCGGACCAGCAAGUUAGGGGUGAAAUCCCGGGGCUCAACCCCGGAACUGCCUUUAAAACUGUUGGUCUGGAGGUCGAGGGAGGUGAGUGGAAUUCCGAGUGUAGAGGUGAAAUUCGUAGAUAUUCGGAGGAACACCAGUGGCGAAGGCGGCUCACUGGCUCGAUACUGACGCUGAGGUGCGAAAGCGUGGGGAGCAAACAGG